Molecule: non-coding RNA, 761 nt
Organism: Sturnus vulgaris (Common starling)
Lineage: Eukaryota; Metazoa; Chordata; Aves; Passeriformes; Sturnidae
Source: RefSeq, a predicted model, not a curated record
UUGUCUGCUGUUCCUCAAGGUGACCCCUGCUCUGUCCCUGCUGGGGGCUCUGUGCUGCUCUAAGCACUUCCCAAGGCAAGGCUUGGUGGCUGAGCUCUGUGAGUGCUGAGCUCUGCUCUAGCAGCCCUGCUUCAGCAUUUCUGUGCUCUUAGGGGAGGCUGCAGCAGUGUGCCAGGGAGCCUGCAGGGUAAUGAGCCCUGCAGGAUGGAUUCCUUGUCCAAAAACAUCUUUCCACUGACUGACCAGGAGUAAAGGUCUGGGGGGCACCUCAGUUGCCAUGAAACCUCUUGGAUUUUCCACAAAGGGCUUUUUCCCCACUGUGUGUGUGUGUUUGUGUUGAAGAUGAGAGGCAACAGGUCAUCCUUUCUUUUUUUCCCCCCUGGGAAUUCUGUGAAUUUAUUUCACUGGUUAAUUCUUUUAAUAGCUUGUUUUUCCUACAUGCAAGCCAUGACUUUUUGCUCCACAUUAACAUCCCACUGUAAGCUCCUGGAGGAGAUCUAAGUGGAGAGGAACUAAAAGCCCCAAAGGACCAAAAGCAGGCUCCAGAUGCCAGUGGGUGGAGGUGAUGUCACCCCAGAGCCUCCCCUGUGCUGCCCAGGCUGUGCAGCCAGGUCUGUCACUAACUCUGGGGACAGCAUGGGCUGGAGUCCCUCUCCUGGUGAAAGGAGGAGUUCUAGGGGAACCCAGGAGAGCCAGCUGUGUUUGGGAGGCUGUAUCCAGGGAACAGGCUUACCCACUGCUGGGGGAAGGGCAGUGCUGCU